Molecule: ribosomal RNA, 468 nt
Filed under: uncultured bacterium
Lineage: Bacteria
Description: partial 16S ribosomal RNA
Rfam family: Bacterial small subunit ribosomal RNA
Source: RNAcentral
GACGAACGCUGGCGGCGUGCUUAACACAUGCAAGUCGAACGGAAAGGCCCUGCUUUUGUGGGGUGCUCGAGUGGCGAACGGGUGAGUAACACGUGAGUAACCUGCCCUUGACUUUGGGAUAACUUCAGGAAACUGGGGCUAAUACCGGAUAGGAGCUCCUGCUGCAUGGUGGGGGUUGGAAAGUUUCGGCGGUUGGGGAUGGACUCGCGGCUUAUCAGCUUGUUGGUGGGGUAGUGGCUUACCAAGGAUUUGACGGGUAGCCGGCCUGAGAGGGUGACCGGCCACAUUGGGACUGAGAUACGGCCCAGACUCCUACGGGAGGCAGCAGUGGGGAAUAUUGCACAAUGGGCGGAAGCCUGAUGCAGCAACGCCGCGUGCGGGAUGACGGCCUUCGGGUUGUAAACCGCUUUCGCCUGUGACGAAGCGUGAGUGACGGUAAUGGGUAAAGAAGCGCCGGCUAACUACGUG